Molecule: ribosomal RNA, 253 nt
Filed under: uncultured bacterium
Lineage: Bacteria
Description: partial 16S ribosomal RNA
Rfam family: Bacterial small subunit ribosomal RNA
Source: RNAcentral
UACGUAGGCAGCAAGCGUUGUUCGGAGUUACUGGGCGUAAAGAGUGCGUAGGUGGUGCCCUAAGUCUGUUGUGAAAUCUCCCGGCUUAACUGGGAGGGUGCGGUGGAAACUGGGGUGCUUGAGUGUGGGAGAGGUAGGCGGAAUUCCUGGUGUAGCGGUGAAAUGCGUAGAUAUCAGGAGGAACACCGGUGGUGUAGACGGCUUACUGGACCACGACUGACACUGAGGCACGAAAGCGUGGGUAGCAAACAGG